GUGGGGAAUAUUGCACAAUGGGCGAAAGCCUGAUGCAGCAACGCCGCGUGAGGGACGACGGCCUUCGGGUUGUAAACCUCUUUUAGUAGGGAAGAAGCGAAAGUGACGGUACCUGCAGAAAAAGCACCGGCUAACUACGUGCCAGCAGCCGCGGUAAUACGUAGUGUGCAAGGGUUAUCCGGAAUUAUUGGGCGUAAAGAGCUCGUAGGCGGUCUGUCGCGUCUGCUGUGAAAACUGGAGGCUCAACCUCCAGCCUGCAGUGGGUACGGGCAGACUAGAGUGCGGUAGGGGAGAAUGGAAUUCCUGGUGUAGCGGUGGAAUGCGCAGAUAUCAGGAGGAACACCGAUGGCGAAGGCAGAUCUCUGGGCCGUAACUGACGCUGAGGAGCGAAAGCGUGGGGAGCGAACAGGAUUAGAAACCCUAGUAGUCC
RNAcentral lists this ribosomal RNA (430 nucleotides) under uncultured bacterium. Its description in RNAcentral is "partial 16S ribosomal RNA". It matches the Rfam family "Bacterial small subunit ribosomal RNA", at positions 354 to 796 of the family's 1533-position model. The record is from RNAcentral.